AUUCUGCCCAAGCGGGGAAGGAUGAGAAGCUUCGACCAAGGUUCGACUCGAGCGCCAGCGAGAGAGCGUUGCCGCAGGCAACGGCCCGAAGGGUGAGGAGCGAAGCGACGAAUAAUCCUUCCCCCACCACCA
Molecule: small RNA, 132 nt
Filed under: Escherichia coli
Lineage: Bacteria; Pseudomonadati; Pseudomonadota; Gammaproteobacteria; Enterobacterales; Enterobacteriaceae
Description: RtT sRNA
Rfam family: RtT RNA
About the family: This family represents a bacterial cis-regulatory element known as RtT RNA. The exact function of RtT is unknown although it is thought that it may be involved in changing the cellular response in relation to amino acid starvation.
Source: RNAcentral